Molecule: transfer RNA, 81 nt
Filed under: Muribaculaceae bacterium Isolate-104 (HZI)
Lineage: Bacteria; Pseudomonadati; Bacteroidota; Bacteroidia; Bacteroidales; Muribaculaceae
Description: tRNA-Tyr
Rfam family: tRNA
About the family: Transfer RNA (tRNA) molecules are approximately 80 nucleotides in length. Their secondary structure includes four short double-helical elements and three loops (D, anti-codon, and T loops).
Source: RNAcentral
GGCCCGGUGGUGGAACUGGUCAGACACGCUUUAUAUAAUACGGAAAGUACAGUGCAGGUUCGAGUCCUGCCCGGGCCGCCC